Molecule: small nucleolar RNA, 129 nt
Filed under: Mus spretus (western wild mouse)
Lineage: Eukaryota; Metazoa; Chordata; Mammalia; Rodentia; Muridae
Description: predicted gene, 26458 (ENSMSPG00010008796.1)
Rfam family: Small nucleolar RNA SNORA24
About the family: ACA24 is a member of the H/ACA class of snoRNA that guide the sites of modification of uridines to pseudouridines.
Source: RNAcentral
CUCCAUUUAACUUUGGGACCUGUCAGCUGUGUCAUGCUUCCUUUGUAGCCAAUGGAAGAGCUUCUUAUUUAUUGGAAAAGCUGUUAUCUUUUGUAUAGUAUCAGAGUCUGACUUGCACAAGUAACAUUU